Molecule: ribosomal RNA, 277 nt
Filed under: uncultured bacterium
Lineage: Bacteria
Description: partial 16S ribosomal RNA
Rfam family: Bacterial small subunit ribosomal RNA
Source: RNAcentral
GAUUAACGCUGGCGGCGUGCCUAACACAUGCAAGUCGAACGGGGGUAGCAAUACUCCAGUGGCAGACGGGUGAGUAACGCGUGACCAACCUACCCGAGAGUGGGGAAUAACUAGCCGAAAGGUUAGCUAAUACCGCAUGAUACGUAGCGGGGCAUCCCGCAACGUUGAAAGGAGCAAUCCGCUCGCGGACGGGGUCGCGUCCGAUUAGCUAGUUGGUGGGGUAACGGCCUACCAAGGCACCGAUCGGUAGCUGGUUUGAGAGAGCGACCAGCCACAC